This is a long non-coding RNA of Sapajus apella (tufted capuchin), 1688 nucleotides long. RefSeq lists it as uncharacterized. The transcript is spliced from 2 exons. The record is from RefSeq and is a predicted model, not a curated record. NCBI's taxonomy places the organism in Eukaryota, Metazoa, Chordata, Mammalia, Primates, Cebidae.
AAAGAAAAUUUAUUAAUGAACUCUAAUGCUAUCCAAAUUGUGCAACAAUGGUACAAACGAAAUAAGAGUAGAAGCUGUAAGUGGAUAGGGUAUGUAGCUCACAGGGGUUUGGGAGUGGAUUUUCUAGAGCUACAGCUGUCCAAUAUAUUAGUCAAUGGAAACCUGAAAAGUGGCUAGUCUGAACUGAGUUCUACCCUAACUGUAAAACAUGCACCAGAUUUCUAAAGCAUGGUCUGAAAAGAAAAAGAGUGUAAAAUAUUUCAUUAAUUUUAUACUGAUUACAUGUCAAAAGGAGAAUGUUUUGGAAAAUUUUAAAUUAGGUAUGUGGUUUCCAUUAUAUUUCUAAUAGAUACUGCAGUUCUAAGAGUAAGAAAAUCGCGUUGAAGAAGAGUACACCUUUCAUUUAGCAAUUGUGAAGAAAAGCAACCACGCUGUACCUCUCAGAUCAGAAGUCCAACAAUAAUCUCACCAACCUAAAAUCAAGUUGUCAGCAGGGCAACAGUCUUUUCUGGAGUGUGUAGGCUAGAAUCUGUUUUCUUGACUUUUCUCAUUUGGAAGACUGUCCACGUUCAUUGGCUCUUGGCCCCUUUCUUCAAUCUUCAAAGCCUGCAACGUUGUAUCUCUCUAAUCAUCAUAAUCACAUCUGAUUCUCUGACCACAACCAGGAACACUUCUCUGCUUUUAAAGGAUUCUUGUGAUAAAAUUGGACCCACCUGGAUAAACCAUGUCAGCAAGAACCUUAACUUAAUGACAUGUGCAAAGUACAUUUUCCUAUGUAAAUUAACUAAUUCACAAGUUCUGGGGAUUGGAGUAAGGACCUCUUUGGGGGACCAUUAUUCUGCCUACCACACUCUUGUACUGUAAAUGAGUCACUGCUGAAAGGUAAUAAGUUGACCCUUCUGAAAAUGAUGAUAAUAUUAGAGAUUGUUAACAGUAAUGUCGGUAUCAUUUGUGCCUCUAGUGGUUGUUGAGAACGAAGUUGCAUUAGCAGAGUGCUUAGGUACUGCAGGGCUCACUGAUUAUAUCUUUGACUCCUAAGAUUUUUAUUCUACUAAGGAGGGAAGAAUAAAUUCGUAUUUGUGGCAUAUCUGCUGUGUCCUAGGUAGUCUACAAUGAACUACAGACACAUUAAUCCCAUCUAAUUUCUACAGUAACUUUAUGAGGUGUGGUAGGAGGCCUUCUGAGAUGACCCAAUGAUCUCCAUCACAUAGCACUCACACCCUUGUAUGAUCUCCCUUCAUUGAAGCUAGGCUUGACUCAGGGACUCUUUCCAUGAACAGAGUAGGACAAUAGUGAUAGUGUAUCAUUUCUGAGACUGGGUUCCAGAAAACUAUGACAUUUCUCUUGCUUACACUGUCUCGCUCUUGCUCUCUUAUUUGCUUGCUUUGAUGAAGCAAGCUACAAUGUGGUAAACUGCCUUUGAAAGAGACCCACAUGUCAAGAAGCUGAGCACACCUGUGACCAACAGCCAGAAUGUAACUGAUAACGCCAAGAACAACAGCUUGUGCAAAAUAAAUUCUGCCUGCAACAAGAGCAUGAAUGGAGAAGCAGAUCCUUCCCCAGUUGAUCCUUGAAAUGCCUGCAGCUCUGUGGACACCUUGAUUGCAGCCUUGUGAUAAAUUCUGAAUCACAAGACCUUAUAUGCCUUACCCAUAGGACUCACAAGGUAAUAAAUGUUUUUCAAAGAA